Molecule: long non-coding RNA, 123 nt
Organism: Telopea speciosissima
Lineage: Eukaryota; Viridiplantae; Streptophyta; Magnoliopsida; Proteales; Proteaceae
Exons: 3
Source: RefSeq, a predicted model, not a curated record
UAUGGAGAUUACUCCAAUCCCCAGAAAUACAGAGAAACAAAAGAAAUAAGAGGGUGGUUUAUUUAGAAGAGAUGUAUAAUGUGUCUAGACCCUAUUUUUGUGCAUUUAUGUGGUGGCAUUCCA